Molecule: long non-coding RNA, 430 nt
Organism: Lolium perenne
Lineage: Eukaryota; Viridiplantae; Streptophyta; Magnoliopsida; Poales; Poaceae
Source: RefSeq, a predicted model, not a curated record
CGUCAACAAUGGCUAUAAGAGAUGGCAUAGCCAAUUUGGAUGUGCAUCUACUGUGUGCUCGCUCACUUCCCUUCUCGAUCGACUGUUUAUUAGUUGAGGCAUGGGAGCCCUUAACGUGCCAAUCCUGCUAUGCUUGCUACUGCUCAUGCCGCUCCAUUUGGUUCCAGGCUCUGAAGCCAAGACUUGCAGACAUGUCACUAGAACAUAUAUCCCUGUCUGGUGCGUUCCGGUUUGGUGUACCCAGGCCUGCCUCAGGGAGGGCUAUACCAGUGGGAGUUGUGGAACCAUCAUUUUUUGUUUGUGCUUUAAAGAUUGCUGAAGAGAAACGUGUUGCGGCUGCCCGAGGGUGUGAUGUAAUAAGAUUGCAGUAAGAACAAGCUAUGACAGAGCGAUGGCUGAAAUUGAGACUCUACUAAAUAAAUUUUCCCUA